AAUAAAAUGAAAUUAUCAACAAGAGGACUUUAAACGAACAGCAAACCUGGUUUUCUUAACUGAUUUUCAUCAUUGUUAAAAGCAAUCAAGGGCAAUAACUCAUGUUCAGCAUAAGUUGUAACUGCAUGUUAUCACCAGAAACAACAUAUUCAUAUUUUAAAACAAGAAUGUGUCCAUAGUACACGGAUGCCCUACUCGUACUAUCAUUUUCUAUGUUCAGUGGACUGUGAAAUUGGGGUCAAAUCUUUAAUUUGGAAUUAAAAUUAGAAAGAUCAUAUCAUAGGGAACAUGUGUAAUUAGUUUCAAGUUGAUUGGACUUCAACUUCUUCAAAAACUACCUUGACCAAAAACUUUAACCUGAAGCCAACGGACGCACGGACGGACGCACGGACGGACGGUGGCACAGACCAGAAAACAUAAUGUCCCUCCACUAUCUUAGGUGGGGCAUAAAAAUUGGUUGAAUAGUUUUCAAGUUUUCACACUGAAACUGUAUAAGUAAAACGAGCACUUGGUCUUUUUGGUACUAAUCAAUAUAGUGAUUAAACAAAAUCAUGGCAGGUUGAAUUUUUCUUGAAAUUUUUUUAUAACAUUCUCUAUCUUAACAGGAAUUUGAUGUACAGUAGUUGUCGUUUGUUUAUGUAAUUUAUACGUGUUUCCCUUUUUUUAUAUAGAUUAGACCAUUGGUUUUCCCGUUUGAAUGGUUUUACACUAUUAAUUUUGGGGCCCUUUAUAGCUUGUUGUUUGUUGUGAGCCAAGGCCGUACCUUGAUCUAUAAUGGUUUACGUUUAUAAAUUGUUAUUUGGAUGGAGAGUUGUCUCAUUGGCACUCAUACCACAUCUUCCUAUAUCUAUUGAAGUAGUAUAUAGUUGAUUGCAAAAGUAAAAAUGUGGGUCCAGGUGUUUCAAUAGAAAAAAAGAAAACAUAGCUUUUAAAAUGCUAGAGAUCCCAUUUCCCUAUUUUUGCGCUAAAUCAUGUAACAGUGUUUUCUUAAUGCAAUAUCUUCUUAUA
Molecule: long non-coding RNA, 1008 nt
Filed under: Mytilus galloprovincialis (Mediterranean mussel)
Lineage: Eukaryota; Metazoa; Mollusca; Bivalvia; Mytilida; Mytilidae
Source: RNAcentral